GGCCUAGUCUGUGGUGCUACAAGUACUUUGGUUAAUCACAUCUCUGGAUCUCUUUUGACCUACGGCACUCACUAUUUGCUUGUUUAAGUUCACAUUCGCAUCAACAUAUAAGUGCUAAACACUGUCAAUUAAAAGACCUCAUGCAAUCAAUUUAUUUCAUAAAUAAAUGAAACAAAAGUCUUUAUUGAAACUAAUUUUAAAAUCUUCUUGUGUUAGCACAGAU
Molecule: long non-coding RNA, 223 nt
Filed under: Elaeis guineensis (African oil palm)
Lineage: Eukaryota; Viridiplantae; Streptophyta; Magnoliopsida; Arecales; Arecaceae
Description: long non-coding RNA (EGUI_LNC071983)
Source: RNAcentral